CCCAGAAGAAAGUUCACUCACAGUAUGUUCAUUCAGCUGUUGUGAUUAGUUUGUAGAAUUGAGAGGAGCAUUGCCCAUGGUUUAUCUUUUUUGGUUCAUCAUCAAAAACCACCGUAGCCGAUCGUGGGGAUCCUAACGAUCCCCGAGUAAGAUUAAAACAUGAUUGCAUUAGGAUUAUGGCUGCUUUCAAACUUGAGCAACCUUUUCAUCAUGUUGUAAUUGUAGCCAACACCCAUCUUUAUCGGGAUCCAGAAUGGGCUGAUGUGAAGCUCGCUCAGGCUAAGUAUCUUUUAUCACGCCUAGCUCGAUUCAAAUCUUUAGUUGUUGAAAAGUUUGAAUGCACACCCUCAGUGCUUUUGGCUGGCGAUUUCAAUUCAACCCCAGGAGAUAAAGUACACAUUGUGUUAUACACUUAUGUAUGUAAUAUACUAAAGAUGGGACCGUGGGCAUAUAUGACGGCUUUAGUGAAACACAAACGGAGUCUCAGGUGUGUGCCCAUCUUUCUU
This is a long non-coding RNA of Cucumis sativus (cucumber), 506 nucleotides long. RefSeq lists it as uncharacterized. The transcript is spliced from 4 exons. NCBI's taxonomy places the organism in Eukaryota, Viridiplantae, Streptophyta, Magnoliopsida, Cucurbitales, Cucurbitaceae. The record is from RefSeq and is a predicted model, not a curated record.